RNAcentral lists this ribosomal RNA (433 nucleotides) under uncultured bacterium. Its description in RNAcentral is "partial 16S ribosomal RNA". It matches the Rfam family "Bacterial small subunit ribosomal RNA", at positions 29 to 507 of the family's 1533-position model. The record is from RNAcentral.
AACGAACGCUGGCGGCAUGCCUAACACAUGCAAGUCGAACGAUGCUUUCGGGCAUAGUGGCGCACGGGUGCGUAACGCGUGGGAAUCUGCCCUUGGGUUCGGAAUAACAGUGAGAAAUUGCUGCUAAUGCCGGAUGAUGUCUUCGGACCAAAGAUUUAUCGCCCAGGGAUGAGCCCGCGUAGGAUUAGCUAGUUGGUGGGGUAAUGGCCUACCAAGGCGACGAUCCUUAGCUGGUCUGAGAGGAUGAUCAGCCACACUGGGACUGAGACACGGCCCAGACUCCUACGGGAGGCAGCAGUGGGGAAUAUUGGACAAUGGGCGCAAGCCUGAUCCAGCAAUGCCGCGUGAGUGAUGAAGGCCUUAGGGUUGUAAAGCUCUUUUACCCGGGAUGAUAAUGACAGUACCGGGAGAAUAAGCUCCGGCUAACUCCGUG